UAGGGAAUCUUCCGCAAUGGACGAAAGUCUGACGGAGCAACGCCGCGUGAGUGAAGAAGGACUUCGGUUCGUAAAACUCUGUUGUUAGGGAAGAAAAAAUGUAUAGUAACUAUAUACAAAAGAGACGGUACCUAACCAGAAAGCCACGGCUAACUACGUGCCAGCAGCCGCGGUAAUACGUAGGUGGCAAGCGUUGUCCGGAAUUAUUGGGCGUAAAGCUCGCGCAGGUGGUUUGGAAAGUCUGAUGUGAAAGCACACGGCUCAACCGUGGAAAGUCAUUGGAAACUAGUAAACUUGAGUGCAGGAGAGAAAAGUGGAAUUCCUAGUGUAGCGGUGAAAUGCGUAGGGAUUAGGAAGAACACCGGUGGCGAAAGCGGCUUUUUGGCCUGCAACUGACACUGAGGCGCGAAAGCGUGGGGAGCAAACAGG
This 429-nucleotide ribosomal RNA is filed under the name Verrucomicrobiota bacterium. RNAcentral's name for it is "Verrucomicrobia bacterium partial 16S ribosomal RNA". It matches the Rfam family "Bacterial small subunit ribosomal RNA", at positions 355 to 776 of the family's 1533-position model. The record is from RNAcentral. Lineage: Bacteria; Pseudomonadati; Verrucomicrobiota.